Monopterus albus (swamp eel) is the source of this 454-nucleotide long non-coding RNA. RefSeq lists it as uncharacterized. The record is from RefSeq and is a predicted model, not a curated record. NCBI's taxonomy places the organism in Eukaryota, Metazoa, Chordata, Actinopteri, Synbranchiformes, Synbranchidae. The transcript is spliced from 3 exons.
UCUCAUUUGUUUUCUAGCCAGCCCCUGCAGCAUGGUUGUCAUAUUUAGUUCUUUGUUUGCUUUGUAACAUACUUGGGGCUUCUUCAGGAUAGGUUAAAGCAAGAGGAGUUUUGUUGUUUUUCUUCUAGAUUCUUUCAGUUUGGUCCCAUGUUUGUGGUUUGGCGGUGUGCUGUUUAAGCUUUUGGCUAUGGUUUGUGGCUCCUAUUGCAGCAAUUUGCAGGAUGAAAAACCCCCAGCCACAGAAUAACAGACUUCACAGGGAUUUAACCUGGCCAUCCAACAGUUGUAGAGGCUUGCAGAUGUCUUCAAGGUUGUACCCGAUUCCUGAUAAAAGGUUCUGAGGCUGGAGGAGGACAGUGGGGAGAUGUUCGACCUCAAGGCUUAUAUGUUAAUGUACAAUCAUGGAAAAUAUUGUGUAUGGACUGUUUUUCUAAUAAAACCCCAGUUAUUAGUC